GCGGGCGUCGUAUAACGGCUAUUAUAUUUCUCUUCCAAGGAAAUGACGUGGGUUCGACUCCCAUCGCCCGCUCAA
RNAcentral lists this transfer RNA (75 nucleotides) under Candidatus Nealsonbacteria bacterium CG10_big_fil_rev_8_21_14_0_10_36_23. RNAcentral's name for it is "tRNA-Gly". It matches the Rfam family "tRNA". From Rfam's summary of the family: Transfer RNA (tRNA) molecules are approximately 80 nucleotides in length. RNAcentral also lists the same sequence under 1 other name. Lineage: Bacteria; Candidatus Nealsoniibacteriota. The record is from RNAcentral.